Molecule: small RNA, 314 nt
Filed under: Arabidopsis thaliana (thale cress)
Lineage: Eukaryota; Viridiplantae; Streptophyta; Magnoliopsida; Brassicales; Brassicaceae
Description: ATSL269680
Source: RNAcentral
AUAUAAAAACUAGAACCGCAACAUAUCUUAAAAGCAUAAGUAUUGUAUCAUUGUUAGAAGAUACAAUGACGAAGACUCAUAUGGACUUCGACUACACUAUCAAAGCUCUAAGAAGCAAGAAGCAGCUUGGUUAGUGUUUUGGAGUCGAAUAUGACUUGAUGUCAUGUGUAUGAGUAAGUAUAAAAACUAGAACCGCAACGGAUCUUAAAAGCCUAAAUAUUGUAUCCUUGUUAGAAGAUACAUAGACAAAGACACAUACGGAAUUCGGCUAAACCAUCAAAGCUGUUAGAAGUAAGAAGAAGCUUGGUAGUGUU